Long non-coding RNA from Puntigrus tetrazona (Sumatra barb), 607 nucleotides. RefSeq lists it as uncharacterized. The transcript is spliced from 3 exons. Lineage: Eukaryota; Metazoa; Chordata; Actinopteri; Cypriniformes; Cyprinidae. The record is from RefSeq and is a predicted model, not a curated record.
CAAAUAUCGCGAAAUAUCAGAGCGCGUAUAGGUUAACGGUUUUGCCCUAAUAAAGUUUUUGAAAAGUUACCUAAAAGACAGCGCAGUCAGUGAAGAGCUUGAGAAAUAUAAGACGCAAUUUGUGAAGAAAAAGGAAGAGCACUCGGAUUCUCACCACAGGAGGGCAGGAAUCACUUGAGUACCAGAGAGACUGCGACACGGUCAUAUUGACUGCAGGCGUAUUGAUAAUUCUGCAGCUAACGCUGGAUCCGAUCUGCUGAGUCCACAGUCACCGCAGGAAACAGUUUCUCUCACAGGUUUCUGUCUGCUGGAUGUGAGACAUUGGUAAUGAGCCGGCAUUCUGUCAUUCCCUUACUUGACACCCCAGAGCCUUAGAGAGGAGAGAGGGACUGGCGCUGUUUGGGUGGAGAGGACGUCAAGCAGCUCUUUCGCUGUGCAUUUUCCCUCUCUGAUGCUGGAUUUAUUCUUCUAAAACCAUGUUUAACAGACUGUGCUGUUUCAUCCAAGUUCUUUUCUUUUUCCUUGAUCUCCUUUUGAAAACCAUGCUUCAAGCGGCGACUGGUCAAGGUCAUCUUGAUUUAAUGCAUUAAAGUUAUAUGAACAUAAA